Small nuclear RNA from Ictidomys tridecemlineatus (thirteen-lined ground squirrel), 106 nucleotides. NCBI's taxonomy places the organism in Eukaryota, Metazoa, Chordata, Mammalia, Rodentia, Sciuridae. The record is from Ensembl.
UUGCUUGCUUCGAUAGCACAUAUACUAAAUUUGGAAUGAUACAGAGAAGAUAGCAUGGCCCCUGUGCAAGGAUGACACGCAAAUUCAUGAAGUGUUCCAUAUUUUU